RNAcentral lists this ribosomal RNA (253 nucleotides) under uncultured bacterium. RNAcentral's name for it is "partial 16S ribosomal RNA". It matches the Rfam family "Bacterial small subunit ribosomal RNA", at positions 524 to 776 of the family's 1533-position model. The record is from RNAcentral.
UACGGGGGGGGCAAGCGUUGUUCGGAAUUACUGGGCGUAAAGGGCUCGUAGGUGGCCAACUAAGUCGGACGUGAAAUCCCUCAGCUUAACUGGGGAACUGCGUCCGAUACUGGAUGGCUUGAGUUUGGGAGAGGGAUGCGGAAUUCCAGGUGUAGCGGUGAAAUGCGUAGAUAUCUGGAGGAACACCGGUGGCGAAGGCGGUUCUCUGGGCCUUACCUGACGCUGAGGAGCGAAAGCGUGGGGAGCGAACAGG